Pteropus alecto (black flying fox) is the source of this 119-nucleotide non-coding RNA. The record is from Rfam. Lineage: Eukaryota; Metazoa; Chordata; Mammalia; Chiroptera; Pteropodidae.
GUCUACGGCCAUGCCACCCCGAGCAAGCCGGCUCCCGUCUGAUCUCGGAAGCUAAGCAGAGUCGGGCCUGGUUAGUACUUGGAUGGGAGACCACCUAGGAAGACCAGGUGCUGUAGGUG